ACUGAACGCCGGCGGCAGGCUUAACACAUGCAAGUCGAGCGGGGUGAUGGUGCUUGCACUAUCACUUAGCGGCGGACGGGUGAGUAAUGCUUAGGAAUCCGCCUAUUAGUGGGGGACAACAUCUCGAAAGGGAUGCUAAUACCGCAUACGUCCUACGGGAGAAAGCAGGGGAUCACUUGUGACCUUGCGCUAAUAGAUGAGCCUAAGUCGGAUUAGCUAGUUGGUGGGGUAAAGGCCUACCAAGGCGACGAUCUGUAGCGGGUCUGAGAGGAUGAUCCGCCACACUGGGACUGAGACACGGCCCAGACUCCUACGGGAGGCAGCAGUGGGGAAUAUUGGACAAUGGGGGGAACCCUGAUCCAGCCAUGCCGCGUGUGUGAAGAAGGCCUUAUGGUUGUAAAGCACUUUAAGCGAGGAGGAGGCUCUUUUGGUUAAUACCCAAGAUGAGUGGACGUUACUCGCAGAAUAAGCACCGGCUAACUCUGUGCCAGCCGCCGCCGUAA
RNAcentral lists this ribosomal RNA (503 nucleotides) under uncultured bacterium. Its description in RNAcentral is "partial 16S ribosomal RNA". It matches the Rfam family "Bacterial small subunit ribosomal RNA", at positions 30 to 523 of the family's 1533-position model. The record is from RNAcentral.